GACGAACGCUGGCGGCGUGCUUAACACAUGCAAGUCGAACGGAGAGGCCCUGCUUUUGUGGGGUGCUCGAGUGGCGAACGGGUGAGUAACACGUGAGUAACCUGCCCUUGACUUUGGGAUAACUUCAGGAAACUGGGGAUAAUACCGGAUAGGAGAUCCUGAUGCAUGGUGGGGGUUGGAAAGUUUCGGCGGUUGGGGAUGGACUCGCGGCUUAUCAGCUUGUUGGUGGGGUAGUGGCUUACCAAGGCUGUGACGGGUAGCCGGCCUGAGAGGGUGACCGGCCACAUUGGGACUGAGAUACGGCCCAGACUCCUACGGGAGGCAGCAGUGGGGAAUAUGGCACAAUGGGCGGAAGCGUGAUGCAGCAACGCCGCGUGCGGGAUGACGUCCUUCGGGUUGUAAACCGCUUUCGCCUGUGACGAAGCGUGAGUGACGGUAAUGGGUAAAGAAGCACCGGCUAACUACGUG
RNAcentral lists this ribosomal RNA (468 nucleotides) under uncultured bacterium. Its description in RNAcentral is "partial 16S ribosomal RNA". It matches the Rfam family "Bacterial small subunit ribosomal RNA", at positions 28 to 507 of the family's 1533-position model. The record is from RNAcentral.